Molecule: ribosomal RNA, 502 nt
Filed under: uncultured bacterium
Lineage: Bacteria
Description: partial 16S ribosomal RNA
Rfam family: Bacterial small subunit ribosomal RNA
Source: RNAcentral
GAUGAACGCCAGCGGCAGGCCUAACACAUGCAAGUCGAGGGGUAGCAGGAUUAAGCUUGCUUAAUUGCUGACGACCGGCGCACGGGUGCGUAACGCGUAUGCAACCUACCUUAUACUGGGGUAUAGCCCGGAGAAAUUCGGAUUAAUCCCCCAUAGUACUAAUGAAUCGCAUGGUUUAUUAGUUAAAGCAUUGCGGUAUAAGAUGGGCAUGCGUCCUAUUAGCUAGAUGGUGAGGUAACGGCUCACCAUGGCUACGAUAGGUAGGGGGCCUGGGAGGGUGGUCCCCCACACUGGUACUGAGACACGGACCAGACUCCUACGGGAGGCAGCAGUGAGGAAUAUUGGUCAAUGGGCGCAAGCCUGAACCAGCCAUGCCGCGUGCAGGAAGAAUGCCCUAUGGGUUGUAAACUGCUUUUAUUUGGGAAUAAACCUCUUUACGUGUAGAGAGCUGAAGGUACCAAAUGAAUAGCACCGGCUAACUCCGUGCCAGCCGCCGCCGUAA